Molecule: long non-coding RNA, 673 nt
Filed under: Homo sapiens (human)
Lineage: Eukaryota; Metazoa; Chordata; Mammalia; Primates; Hominidae
Description: HSALNT0380461
Source: RNAcentral
CUUAGUUCCAAAGGGAGGAAUACUUCCACCAGGAAACAAAAUGAUUCCAUUGAACCUGAAGUUAAGAGUGCCACCCAGUCAUCUGGGGCUCCUCAUGCCUCUAAAUUAACUGCCAAAGAAAGUUAUCAUGCUGGCUGGAAUGAUUGAUACUGGUCUGGCUGGAUUAUCAAGGAGAAAUUAGACUGCUACUCCACAAUGGAGGAGCCUUUUAGGUAUCAUCUCAUGAAAGUGUUUGGAGUGCUACCCAUAGCCACCUAAGACAAGUGAUGGAGGACGGAGCAGAUACCAGAUGGUCCUAAAGGUCUGGGAAUGAGGUGGCUACUGAGGUAGACUCUUGAGGAAGUAAAGGCACUGCACAUAAUGAGUAAUCUGGAGUGUAAAGUCUACACCCAAAGAUAAAUACAUUCUCAUAAAAAGAACUGACAGUGCCCUAGACUUGCAACUCUGGGUAUCUUUGGGCAUGGAGCUUCAUGAAAGCUAAGGCUGAGUUAUAGGUGGGCUGUCUAAACAAUAAAGUAUUGUACCAGCUCAGGGCCAAUAUGAAAAGACCAAAAUCUUUUUUUUGUUGUUUUUUGUUUUGGCUCCAGGCAUUUAAGGAAAUCUCUAUCAGGUCACAGGUCAAAUGAGGAAAUAAUGAAACAGAUUGCAAGACUAUGUACAAUAAAGAAUGCGG